CCUACGGGGGGCAGCAGUGAGGAAUAUUGGUCAAUGGACGAGAGUCUGAACCAGCCAAGUAGCGUGAAGGAUGACUGCCCUAUGGGUUGUAAACUUCUUUUAUAUGGGAAUAAAAUGUUCCACGUGUGGGAUUUUGUAUGUACCAUAUGAAUAAGGAUCGGCUAACUCCGUGCCAGCAGCCGCGGUAAUACGGAGGAUCCGAGCGUUAUCCGGAUUUAUUGGGUUUAAAGGGAGCGUAGGUGGAUUGUUAAGUCAGUUGUGAAAGUUUGCGGCUCAACCGUAAAAUUGCAGUUGAAACUGGCAGUCUUGAGUACAGUAGAGGUGGGCGGAAUUCGUGGUGUAGCGGUGAAAUGCUUAGAUAUCACGAAGAACUCAGAUUGCGAAGGCAGUUCACUGGACUGCAACUGACACUGAGGCUCGAAAGUGUGGGUAUCAAACAGGAUUAGAUACCCCUGUAGUC
Molecule: ribosomal RNA, 460 nt
Filed under: uncultured bacterium
Lineage: Bacteria
Description: partial 16S ribosomal RNA
Rfam family: Bacterial small subunit ribosomal RNA
Source: RNAcentral